RNAcentral lists this long non-coding RNA (2047 nucleotides) under Homo sapiens (human). RNAcentral's name for it is "non-protein coding lnc-CDYL2-1:2". Lineage: Eukaryota; Metazoa; Chordata; Mammalia; Primates; Hominidae. The record is from RNAcentral.
UCUGUAAUUCAUGGCUAAUCCGAAGAGUUUGAUUGAGUUGAUGGCGGCAGGGACCAGAUAGACACCUUGGUGAUUGUCUUUGGCCAUAAGAAUAGACCAAGGAUAGGUUUUCCAGAGACACCUUCAUACUGUAAACAUGGUUUAGACACGGUCAUAGGGAAGGCUGCUGGUCCAUCAUUUGUUCUGAACAAAUGGCAUUUCCUGCUCCUGACCCUGGCAGUUGGCCCCAGAUUCCUUGUCGAUGACUUGGAAACGUCCAUUCUGGGUAAGGUCAGCACUCCCUGAGAGAUGUUAACAAAGUUUACCUAUGAGUCUUACUGUGUAGACAAUCUGAAGUCAAUUUUAGUUACACAAUCAGCAUUCCCAUGUGUCCUCAGUGUCUUAUCAAUGAACUAUGUGUAUCAAGCCAUACUAAACUGGAGUUUAGCAGGACAAAGGCAAACUAAAUGUAGAACAUAACAUAUCAGCUGAAUAUGUCUAUCCAGGACUGUUUUUCUAGAACAUAAAUCAUGGAGCUCCUUGACAGUGUAUCCACUGUUUUUGGGGUUUAAUAAAACCAACUAGAAUUUAGACUUAAAAAGAAAUUAUUAUUCCUUUUGGUUGUCCACAUAAAGUAGUCCAGGGCUAUCAUAUGGCUAAAAUCAAGUUAUUUGGUUCAUCUCUGGUAUGUAUUUAUAAAGUCAACUUAUCAGCCAUUAAGAUGGAGAUUUGCUUUAAAUUUUUGCAGUGUGUGUGGCAGUCAGAAAAACCCAUAUCUAGUUUUCAACUUCACCUCUGGUGUUUUUAUGGCUUAACCUUAUAUCAUUGAUCCAACAUCUAGCCUGAUGCUGGAGCUCUUAUUUCUAGCCUGAUGCUGGAGCUCUUAUAUCUAGCCUGAUGCUGGAGCUCUUGAAGCUGACUCUUGGAAGUUUGGAGGGUGUAGAGUUUCCCAUCUAGUAUUUAAUUUGUCCCUGUGCCAUUAGUCCCAGCUUGAAGUCAUUUGCCAGUGUCGAUGUUGACAGGAUUGUGACAAUAUUGCCUUUCAUAAAACCGAGAACCAAAGAAUUCCAUUAUUCUAACAAAGCCUGAGUUUCAUAGAUUGUGGGCACAUCUAGACAGAUAUGUGCAUGCUUGAUGGUGCAGAGAAACUGCUGACUUCCACCAACCUCAUGCUCCCCCUGGCUGGCCAUACAGAGGGAUUCGUUGUCAUAUUGAAAAGGCUCUGAAAGAUGAGUUUCUAAUUGAAGCUCACUAUCUCAGGUUGGUGUUUCUACUGUGUAGUCCCAAGCCUGUAUCCAUAUCAUAAAAGUGGAGGCCUGGUACUCCUCCAGGUUAUCUGGCCAGUGUAGACUCCUCCAUCUGAAUAUGAACCUCCAGGGUAAGAAUUUUUCAGACAUGUCUAUACUGAACAGUAGGAUCCUGCACUUUCCAAAUGUCUGCCUCCUUUUGUUCUUCAUUGACCCAUUCUAAUUCCUGUUAGGUGUGAGAAGAAUUGUCUUCAGUUCUCUCUCCAUUCUCAUUCAUGAUGGAAUCAUUGAUCCAUUGACCAGUUGAGAAAUGAUUGAUGCUGAAGAAGUGGUAUUCUAUUGGUAAGGCUUAUUACCAAACUUCCGAUAAUGAAGCAGGCUACCAAAAACUUAUCCAGCCCACCCUAGGAGUGUUUGGAUUUGAUCAUGGAUGUAGCAUACACCAAAAUCCACCGAGACCUUUGCAAAAUUAGGCUACUUGUUUUAUUUUGCCAGAUUAUCAUGGGAGAGUCUUUAACUAGUUCUGAAUAUUUGUAAGUCUGAGUACUUCAUAGAAUUAUAAAGAAGGUACAGCUGACCCCUUCUCACCAUGUUGUAAAUAUUUACUGAGACUGGGUGCAGUACUGAGGGAUAAUAAUCUUCUGAUUUAUCAAAUCCUGACUGUCUAGAGCAAAUUGUACACUCUCUUUGUGAAUGGUCCUGUAACGUGUAUGAACACAUUUCUGGGUGCCUUAGAAGUUGUAUUUUUCAUGUGUGCUAAUAUGCAGUAUUUAUACAUUGUGAGAAGCUGCUUUGAAUAAAAAGGUUGAAACUUCGUCUGC